CCUACGGGGGGCAGCAGUGAGGAAUAUUGGUCAAUGGACGAGAGUCUGAACCAGCCAAGUAGCGUGAAGGAUGACUGCCCUAUGGGUUGUAAACUUCUUUUAUAUGGGAAUAAAAUGUUCCACGUGUGGGAUUUUGUAUGUACCAUAUGAAUAAGGAUCGGCUAACUCCGUGCCAGCAGCCGCGGUAAUACGGAGGAUCCGAGCGUUAUCCGGAUUUAUUGGGUUUAAAGGGAGCGUAGGUGGAUUGUUAAGUCAGUUGUGAAAGUUUGCGGCUCAACCGUAAAACUGCAGUUGAAACUGGCAGUCUUGAGUACAGUAGAGGUGGGCGGAAUUCGUGGUGUAGCGGUGAAAUGCUUAGAUAUCACGAAGAACUCCGAUUGCGAAGGCAGUUCACUGGACUGCAACUGACACUGAGGCUCGAAAGUGUGGGUAUCAAACAGGAUUAGAUACCCCUGUAGUC
Molecule: ribosomal RNA, 460 nt
Filed under: uncultured bacterium
Lineage: Bacteria
Description: partial 16S ribosomal RNA
Rfam family: Bacterial small subunit ribosomal RNA
Source: RNAcentral